This 448-nucleotide unclassified non-coding RNA is filed under the name uncultured Corticiaceae. RNAcentral's name for it is "sequence contains ITS2". The stretch from base 1 to 154 matches the Rfam family "5.8S ribosomal RNA". Lineage: Eukaryota; Fungi; Basidiomycota; Agaricomycetes; Corticiales; Corticiaceae. The record is from RNAcentral.
AACUUCUAGCAACGUAUCUCUUGGCUCUCGCAUCGAUGAAGAACGCAGCGAAAUGCGAUAAGUAAUGUGAAUUGCAGAUUUCAGUGAAUCAUCGAAUCUUUGAACGCACCUUGCGCCCUGUGGUAUUCCGCAGGGCAUGCCCGUUUGAGUAUCAUUAAAUCUUCAACCUCAAAACCUUUGUGUUUUCGAGGCUUGGUCUUGAGGGUGCUGCAGGCUUUUCUAAAGUCGGCUCCCUUUAAAUUCAUUAGCGAGACUUCCCUUUGUUUGAGCCAGUCUCAUUGGCAUGAUAGUUAUCUGUGUCAACGUCGGUUCUCGUUGGGCUUGCUUCUAAUCGUCUUCGGACAACAGGAUUUUGGGUGCAUAUAUAUGCGCACGAUUUCCAAACCUUUUUGAUCUCAAAUCGGGUAGGACUACCCGCUGAACUUAAGCAUAUCAAUAAGCGGAGGCU